This 497-nucleotide ribosomal RNA is filed under the name uncultured bacterium. RNAcentral's name for it is "partial 16S ribosomal RNA". It matches the Rfam family "Bacterial small subunit ribosomal RNA", at positions 28 to 507 of the family's 1533-position model. The record is from RNAcentral.
GAUGAACGCUGGCGGCGUGCCUAAUACAUGCAAGUCGAGCGAACAGAUGAGGAGCUUGCUCCUCUGACGUUAGCGGCGGACGGGUGAGUAACACGUGGAUAACCUACCUAUAAGACUGGGAUAACUUCGGGAAACCGGAGCUAAUACCGGAUAAUAUAUUGAACCGCAUGGUUCAAUAGUGAAAGACGGUUUUGCUGUCACUUAUAGAUGGAUCCGCGCCGCAUUAGCUAGUUGGUAAGGUAACGGCUUACCAAGGCAACGAUGCGUAGCCGACCUGAGAGGGUGAUCGGCCACACUGGAACUGAGACGCGGUCCAGACUCCGACGGGAGGCAGCAGUAGGGAAUCUUCCGCAAUGGGCGAAAGCCUGACGGAGCAACGCCGCGUGGGUGAUGAAGGUCUUCGGAUCGUAAAACUCUGUUAUUAGGGAAGAACAAAUGUGUAAGUAACUAUGCACGUCUUGACGGUACCUAAUCAGAAAGCCACGGCUAACUACGUG